UCCAGAGGUCUCAAGCGUUGUUCGGAUUCAUUGGGCGUAAAGGGUGCGUAGGCGGCGCGGUAAGUCGGGUGUGAAAUCUCGGGGCUUAACUCCGAAACUGCAUUCGAUACUGCCGUGCUUGAGGACUGGAGAGGAGACUGGAAUUUACGGUGUAGCGGUGAAAUGCGUAGAUAUCGUAAGGAAGACCAGUGGCGAAGGCGGGUCUCUGGACAGUUCCUGACGCUGAGGCACGAAGGCCAGGGGAGCAAACGGG
RNAcentral lists this ribosomal RNA (253 nucleotides) under uncultured bacterium. RNAcentral describes it as "partial 16S ribosomal RNA". It matches the Rfam family "Bacterial small subunit ribosomal RNA", at positions 524 to 776 of the family's 1533-position model. The record is from RNAcentral.